Molecule: ribosomal RNA, 396 nt
Filed under: uncultured bacterium
Lineage: Bacteria
Description: partial 16S ribosomal RNA
Rfam family: Bacterial small subunit ribosomal RNA
Source: RNAcentral
AUACGUAGGUGACAAGCGUUAUCCGGAUUUACUGGGCGUAAAGGGCGUGUAGGCGGUCUUGCAAGUCAGAAGUGAAAUUCCUGAGCUCAACUCGGGCGCUGCUUCUGAAACUGCAGGACUUGAGUGCUGGAGGGGAUAGCGGAAUUCCUAGUGGAGCGGUAAAAUGCGCAGAUAUUAGGAAGAACACCGGUGGCGAAGGCGGCUAUCUGGACAGUAACUGACGCUGAGGCGCGAAAGCGUGGGGAGCAAACAGGAUUAGAUACCCUGGUAGUCCACGCUGUAAACGAUGAAUACUAGGUGUGGGGGGACUGACCCCCUCCGUGCCGCAGUUAACACAAUAAGUAUUCCACCUGGGGAGUACGAUCGCAAGAUUGAAACUUAAAGGAAUUGACGGGG